AGCGUAGACGGCUGUGUAAGUCUGAAGUGAAAGCCCGGGGCUCAACCCCGGGACUGCUUUGGAAACUAUGCAGCUAGAGUGUCGGAGAGGUAAGUGGAAUUCCCAGUGUAGCGGUGAAAUGCGUAGAUAUUGGGAGGAACACCAGUGGCGAAGGCGGCUUACUGGACGAUGACUGACGUUGAGGCUCGAAAGCGUGGGGAAGCAAACA
Molecule: ribosomal RNA, 208 nt
Filed under: uncultured bacterium
Lineage: Bacteria
Description: partial 16S ribosomal RNA
Rfam family: Bacterial small subunit ribosomal RNA
Source: RNAcentral